GUCAAUGGAAAAGAAAGAGAGUGGAAUUUAUUUUGGAGCAGAUGAGGCUCUACCUAGCUGUGAAGAAUUACAUUCGAACACAAAUCAUCAGCAAGAAAAUUAACACCAAAUUUUUCCCGGAAGAAAAUACAAAGAAAUUAAAGUUGAAGUACUAUAAUUUAACGAUUCAGCUGGAUCAACAUGAGGGAUCCUAUUUGUCUAUUUGUAAGCACUGCAGAGCAAUAUAUGAUAUUCCCUGUAUACAGGCAGAAAGUGAAAAAUGGCAGCAGGCUCUGAAGAGUGUUGUACUCUAUGUUAUCCUGGCUGCUUUCGACAAUGAACAGUCUGAUUUGGUUCAUCGAAUAAGUGGUGACAAGAAGUUAGAAGAAAUUCCCAAAUACAAGGAUCUUUUAAAGCUUUUUACCACAAUGGAGUUGAUGGGUUGGUGCGCACUUGUUGAGGACUAUGGAAUGGAAUUAAGAAAAGGUUCCCCUGAGAGUCCUGCAACUGAUGUUUUUGGUUCUACAGAGGAAGGCGAGAAAAGGUGGAAAGGCUUGAAGAACAGAGUUGUUGAACAUAAUAUUAGAAUAAUGGCCAAGUAUUAUACUCGGAUAACAAUGAAAAGGAUGGCACAGCUUCUGGAUCUGUCUGUUGAUGAGUCUGAAGCCUUUCUCUCAAAUCUAGUAGUUAACAAAACCAUCUUUGCUAAAGUAGACAGAUUAGCAGGAAUUAUCAACUUCCAGAGACCCAAGGAUCCAAAUAAUUUAUUAAAUGACUGGUCUCAGAAACUGAACUCAUUAAUUUCUCUGGUUAACAAAACUACACAUCUCGUAGCCAAAGAGGAGAUGAUACAUAAUCUACAAUAAAGGUCUUAAUGCUUUUAGAAAACAGUUACAAUUGGAAGUAAUUAAAAAAAAAAAAAAAGACUGUUAUAAUGGUAUAUAUGUUG
This is an RNA transcript of Sapajus apella (tufted capuchin), 928 nucleotides long. It is a transcript of the gene named 26S proteasome non-ATPase regulatory subunit 12 pseudogene, with no coding region annotated. Lineage: Eukaryota; Metazoa; Chordata; Mammalia; Primates; Cebidae. The transcript has a single exon. The record is from RefSeq and is a predicted model, not a curated record.